This 338-nucleotide ribosomal RNA is filed under the name uncultured bacterium. RNAcentral describes it as "bacterial SSU rRNA". It matches the Rfam family "Bacterial small subunit ribosomal RNA", at positions 238 to 593 of the family's 1533-position model. The record is from RNAcentral.
CCAUUAGGUAGUUGGUGAGGUAACGGCCCACCAAGCCGAUGAUGGGUAGCUGGUCUGAGAGGAUGGUCAGCCACACUGGGACUGAGACACUGCCCAGACUCCUACGGGAGGCUGCAGUCGAGAAUCUUGGGCAAUGCGCGAAAGCGUGACCCAGCAAUGCCGCGUGUGUGAUGAAGGUCUUCGGAUUGUAAAACACUGUCUCCCGUGACGAUAAUGACGGUAGCGGGGAAGGAAGCCACGGCUAACUACGUGCCAGCAGCCGCGGUAAUACGUAGGUGGCGAGCGUUGUCCGGAAUUAUUGGGCGUAAAGAGCUUGUAGGCGGUUUGAGUCGUGGGAG